GCUCCCAUGGCGUAGUGGUCACUGCGCUCGCCUUGCACGCGGGAGACCCGGGUUCGAUUCCCGGCGGAAGGG
This 72-nucleotide transfer RNA is filed under the name Diaphorina citri (Asian citrus psyllid). It matches the Rfam family "tRNA". From Rfam's summary of the family: Transfer RNA (tRNA) molecules are approximately 80 nucleotides in length. Their secondary structure includes four short double-helical elements and three loops (D, anti-codon, and T loops). Lineage: Eukaryota; Metazoa; Arthropoda; Insecta; Hemiptera; Psyllidae. The record is from Rfam by way of RNAcentral.